GAAAUAAAAGAUAAAUGAAAGCUGCUAACUUAUCAUUUUAGUGGUUUAAUUCCAUUAAUAUUUCU
RNAcentral lists this transfer RNA (65 nucleotides) under Arenivaga sp. B097. RNAcentral describes it as "tRNA-Ser". Lineage: Eukaryota; Metazoa; Arthropoda; Insecta; Blattodea; Corydiidae. The record is from RNAcentral.